This 443-nucleotide ribosomal RNA is filed under the name uncultured bacterium. Its description in RNAcentral is "partial 16S ribosomal RNA". It matches the Rfam family "Bacterial small subunit ribosomal RNA", at positions 338 to 795 of the family's 1533-position model. The record is from RNAcentral.
CCUACGGGAGGCAGCAGUUAGGAAUAUUGGGCAAUGGAGGAAACUCUGACCCAGCAACUCCGCGUGAAGGAAGAAGGUUUUCGGAUUGUAAACUUCUGAUCUGUGGGACGAAGAAAGUGACGGUACCACAGGAGAAAGCCACGGCUAACUACGUGCCAGCAGCCGCGGUAAUACGUAGGUGGCGAGCGUUGUCCGGAUUUACUGGGUGUAAAGGGAGCGUAGACGGCGCUGCAAGUCCGGAGUGAAAGCCCAUGGCUUAACCAUGGUACUGCUCUGGAAACUGUGGAGCUUGAGUGCGGGAGGGGCAGGCGGAAUUCCUAGUGUAGCGGUGAAAUGCGUAGAUAUUAGGAGGAAUACCGUUAGCGAAGGCGGCAAUCUGGCUGGAAACUGACGCUGAGGUGCGAAAGCGUGGGUAGCAAACAGGAUUAGAUACCCCGGUAGUC